RNAcentral lists this transfer RNA (73 nucleotides) under Mustela putorius furo (domestic ferret). It matches the Rfam family "tRNA". From Rfam's summary of the family: Transfer RNA (tRNA) molecules are approximately 80 nucleotides in length. Lineage: Eukaryota; Metazoa; Chordata; Mammalia; Carnivora; Mustelidae. The record is from Rfam by way of RNAcentral.
ACCUGACUGGCUCAGUCGGCAGAACAUGUGACUCUUGAUCUCAGGGUUGUGAGUUCAAGCCCCAUGUUGGGUG